GCCAGACUCCUACGGGAGGCAGUAGUGAGGAAUAUUGGUCAAUGGGCGAGAGCCUGAACCAGCCAAGUCGCGUGAGGGAGUACUGCCCUAUGGGUUGUAAACCUCUUUUGUCGGGGAGCAAAAGCCGGACGUGUCCGGCUGUGAGAGUACCCGAAGAAAAAGCAUCGGCUAACUCCGUGCCAGCAGCCGCGGUAAUACGGAGGGUGCGAGCGUUAAUCGGAAUUACUGGGCGUAAAGCGCACGUAGGCUGUAUGACAAGUCAAGGGUGAAAUGCCACGGCUCAACCGUGGAACUGCCUUUGAAACUGUCAAACUGGAGUAUGUGAGAGGGCGGCGGAAUUCCUGGUGUAGGAGUGAAAUCCGUAGAUAUCAGGAGGAACAUCAGUGGCGAAGGCGGCCGCCUGGCACAAAACUGACGCUGAGGUGCGAAAGCGUGGGUAGCAAACAGGAUUAGAUACCCCUGUAUG
This 466-nucleotide ribosomal RNA is filed under the name uncultured bacterium. Its description in RNAcentral is "bacterial SSU rRNA". It matches the Rfam family "Bacterial small subunit ribosomal RNA", at positions 330 to 793 of the family's 1533-position model. The record is from RNAcentral.